Molecule: ribosomal RNA, 431 nt
Filed under: uncultured bacterium
Lineage: Bacteria
Description: bacterial SSU rRNA
Rfam family: Bacterial small subunit ribosomal RNA
Source: RNAcentral
CCCCAAAUCGUAGAGAUGGCUGAUGUCUGAUUAGCUAGUUGGUAAGGUAAAAGCUUACCAAGGCGACGAUCAGUAGCUGGUCUGAGAGGACGAUCAGCCACACUGGGACUGAGACACGGCCCAGACUCCUACGGGAGGCAGCAGUGGGGAAUUUUGGACAAUGGGCGAAAGCCUGAUCCAGCCAUGCCGCGUGAGUGAAGAAGGCCUUCGGGUUGUAAAGCUCUUUCGGUCGAGAAGAAAUGUCUAUGACUAAUACUUAUAGAAAAUGACGGUAUCGACAUAAGAAGCACCGGCUAACUACGUGCCAGCAGCCGCGGUAAUACGUAGGGUGCAAGCGUUAAUCGGAAUUAUUGGGCGUAAAGGGUGCGCAGGCUGUGUUGUAAGUCAGAUGUGAAAUCCCCGGGCUUAACCUGGGAAUUGCGUUUGAAAUA